GAUGAACGCUGGCGGCGUGCCUAAUACAUGCAAGUCGAGCGAACGGACGAGAAGCUUGCUUCUCUGAUGUUAGCGGCGGACGGGUGAGUAACACGUGGAUAACCUACCUAUAAGACUGGGAUAACUUCGGGAAACCGGAGCUAAUACCGGAUAAUAUUUUGAACCGCAUGGUUCAAAAGUGAAAGACGGUCUUGCUGUCACUUAUAGAUGGAUCCGCGCUGCAUUAGCUAGUUGGUAAGGUAACGGCUUACCAAGGCAACGAUGCAUAGCCGACCUGAGAGGGUGAUCGGCCACACUGGAACUGAGACACGGUCCAGACGCCUACGGGAGGCAGCAGUAGGGAAUCUUCCGCAAUGGGCGAAAGCCUGACGGAGCAACGCCGCGUGAGUGAUGAAGGUCUUCGUAUCGUAAAACUCUGUUAUUAGGGAAGAACAUAUGUGUAAGUAACUGUGCACAUCUGGACGGUACCUAAUCAGAAAGCCACGGCUAACUACGU
This 496-nucleotide ribosomal RNA is filed under the name uncultured bacterium. RNAcentral describes it as "partial 16S ribosomal RNA". It matches the Rfam family "Bacterial small subunit ribosomal RNA", at positions 28 to 506 of the family's 1533-position model. The record is from RNAcentral.